Long non-coding RNA from Anthonomus grandis grandis, 985 nucleotides. RefSeq lists it as uncharacterized. The transcript is spliced from 2 exons. The record is from RefSeq and is a predicted model, not a curated record. Lineage: Eukaryota; Metazoa; Arthropoda; Insecta; Coleoptera; Curculionidae.
ACAGCUUUUAACAUUUUUUGAUAAUCUGUACCUAUCUGUAUCCAAAUCUAUACUGACUUAUAAAUAUAAUUUUUAUUAAUGAAUAUUAUUAUUUAUUAAUAAAUUGGUAUUCAUAAUACCAAUUGGCAAAAAAUCUUUUAAACAAAAUUAAAAACCUAGGUAAGUUUACAAAAUAUAAUUAUUUAAUUUGGUUUAUCAAUUAAAUUGUUUUGUUACUUGAACUUUUGCAUGUUGAUUUGACCUGCGACCAGUAUCGCAGGAACAUAAUUUUAGUAUAACAAAGAAAUCAAGAAAAUUAUUUUGCGCACCAUUUAAUUUAAAUUGAUUCUUAAAAGAAGCCGAUAUCUAAAGCAAUAAUAAACAUGUUUUGCAUGCAUUUCGCCUAUACAUAUAUUGGAACAGGCAAUAACAAAACACUCAGAUAAAAUAGUUAAAAUGAAGUGUUCAGCAUUAUUUUCCUCAGAUUGGUGUAAGAUAAUAAUUUCGAUAGUAGUGAUACAAUGCUUAGUUUAUUGCAUUGCUGACGAGCUCCCGGAUCCUAGAAGACUCAAUACCAAUGAAGUAGAGCGAAUAAUGUCGGAUAAUACACCUGUUGCUCUUGUCUUUUUAGAGGCCUGGGUGUCUAGUAACCUCGGUAGUUCUUGGUGGCAUUUUUUGUACACAGGAACUGGAACUGAGAUACCAACGUUAGGAAAUAUGGGCCGACAUAAAAAUAUAAUAAUUCAAGCACUUCCAGAAAAUGCCAAAUUUACGAGCAUAGUACUGCUUGAAAGAACUAGAACGUCUCGCUAUCAGGUGACUGUCCAAAAAGUUACCAGACGUAAGUGGUUAACUUGGUUCUAUCGACGGAAAGAGAAAGACAAAGCUGUAUCCUCGAAGUAUCUAAAAACUCUUGAAAUCGCCAUCCAUAAUAAUAACAUAACAAAUAAAUAAAUAAAAACAUGUUUGUAUUUAAUAUUUAUUAAUAAAAAAGUACAUAAUAUAA